Molecule: long non-coding RNA, 570 nt
Organism: Rhinopithecus roxellana (golden snub-nosed monkey)
Lineage: Eukaryota; Metazoa; Chordata; Mammalia; Primates; Cercopithecidae
Exons: 3
Source: RefSeq, a predicted model, not a curated record
GUGUCCCCCGGGACGGGCUCCUGCAAGGGGCACCUUGGCAGGGCGGACGUUGGAAGCUGAAUGCGGAGGAAGCAUCUGGAAGCGGAGAUCUUGGCCUCAGCUCUCCUGUCCUGGGGACGCUCUGCAAGUCACCGGCAGGCAUUUGGAUUCACUGUUCAAGUCAGCCGUCCUCUCCAGUGAACUGGACGAGAAGGGCCAGGGUCGAGGAGUACAAAACAUGGUAGCUGAAGGUCUGCCGACUUGGCAGGUUUUUUAUUUAUUGCACCUGUGACUCAACCAAGUGGGGAAACAGCUUCUGUCUGAAACGGGAAAAAGAUCUGAAGAACCAACGUUUUGACAGAAGAGCCAUCUCAGUGAGAGGCAGAGGCUGAAAAUGAACGUCAAUAUCCACCCAGAGAAAAAUCAAAUGCCGGGCAGCCUCCAGCGACUUCCCCGUCAAUUCCCCGUCAGUGCAAACCCCUUUGCUGUUAAUAUUUCAGUAAAGGGCACUCACUUCUUGGGACCCUGAUUCAUGGAUCUAUUUGGGCACAGUGCCUGCCCCUUUGUUCAUAAGAUCCAUAUGCAAUUAAA